RNAcentral lists this ribosomal RNA (443 nucleotides) under uncultured bacterium. Its description in RNAcentral is "partial 16S ribosomal RNA". It matches the Rfam family "Bacterial small subunit ribosomal RNA", at positions 338 to 795 of the family's 1533-position model. The record is from RNAcentral.
CCUACGGGAGGCAGCAGUGGGGAAUAUUGGACAAUGGGGGGAACCCUGAUCCAGCGACGCCGCGUGAGUGAAGAAGUAUUUCGGUAUGUAAAGCUCUAUCAGCAGGGAAGAAAGAAAUGACGGUACCUGACUAAGAAGCCCCGGCUAACUACGUGCCAGCAGCCGCGGUAAUACGUCGGGGGCAAGCGUUCUCCGGAUUUACUGGGUGUAAAGGGGGCGUAGACGGCGAUGCAAGUCUGAAGUGAAAGGCGGGGGCCCAACCCCCGGACUGCUUUGGAAACUGUAUGGCUGGAGUGCAGGAGAGGUAGGUGGAAUUCCUAGUGUAGCGGUGAAAUGCGUAGAUAUUAGGAGGAACACCAGUGGCGAAGGCGGCUUACUGGACUGUAACUGACGUUGAGGCUCGAAAGCGUGGGGAGCAAACAGGAUUAGAUACCCCAGUAGUC